Molecule: ribosomal RNA, 466 nt
Filed under: uncultured bacterium
Lineage: Bacteria
Description: partial 16S ribosomal RNA
Rfam family: Bacterial small subunit ribosomal RNA
Source: RNAcentral
GACGAACGCUGGCGGUGUGCUUAACACAUGCAAGUCGAACGGUAAGGCCCUUUCGGGGGUCCACGAGUGGCGAACGGGCGAGUAACACGUGAGUAACCUGCCCUCAUCUCUGGGAUAACAGUCGGAAACGGUUGCUAAUACUGGAUAUGAGCUUGCAAGGCAUCUUGUGGGUUGGAAAGAUUUUUUUGGUUGGGGAUGGACUCGCGGCCUAUCAGCUUGUUGGUGAGGUAGUGGCUCACCAAGGCUUCGACGGGUAGCCGGCCUGAGAGGGCGACCGGCCACAUUGGGACUGAGAUACGGCCCAAACUCCUACGGGAGGCAGCAGUGGGGAAUAUUGCACAAUGGACGGAAGUCUGAUGCAGCAACGCCGCGUGCGGGAUGACGGCCUUCGGGUUGUAAACCGCUUUCAAUUGUGACGAAGCUUUUUGUGACGGUAGCAGUAGAAGAAGCACCGGCUAACUACGUG